CACAGCCUGAGAGGGCUUUCAGAAGGCUGUGCCUGGUUGCCCACAGUGGGGAAUGAGGGAAGAAUCCGGAGUCUUGGGUUUAUAUGACACAAAAUAUCUCCUUCGUCUGGUAUUCUGUUCCAUUUGAACACAUCAUCACCAUGUGUCAGGCUGUUCAUCCACUGGCGACGUCCAAGCUGCUCCUGAUUGGCGCAAAUGAGGGAACUACGAGCUGUCCCGAAC
RNAcentral lists this long non-coding RNA (222 nucleotides) under Rattus norvegicus (Norway rat). RNAcentral describes it as "long non-coding RNA NONRATT033634". Lineage: Eukaryota; Metazoa; Chordata; Mammalia; Rodentia; Muridae. The record is from RNAcentral.